UGAACACGAAACGAAAGCCCCCUGU
This 25-nucleotide non-coding RNA is filed under the name Drosophila melanogaster (fruit fly). Lineage: Eukaryota; Metazoa; Arthropoda; Insecta; Diptera; Drosophilidae. The record is from RNAcentral.